GAUGAACGCUGGCGGCGUGCCUAAUACAUGCAAGUCGAGCGAACAGACGAGGAGCUUGCUCCUUUGACGUUAGCGGCGGACGGGUGAGUAACACGUGGAUAACCUACCUAUAAGACUGGGAUAACUUCGGGAAACCGGAGCUAAUACCGGAUAAUAUAUUGAACCGCAUGGUUCAAUAGUGAAAGACGGUUUUGCUGUCACUUAUAGAUGGAUCCGCGCCGCAUUAGCUAGUUGGUAAGGUAACGGCUUACCAAGGCGACGAUGCGUAGCCGACCUAAGAGGGUGAUCGGCCACAAUGGAACUGAGACACGGUGCAGACUCCUACGGGAGGCAGCAGUAGGGAAUCUUCCGCAAUGGGCGAAAGCCUGACGGAGCAACGCCGCGUGAGUGAUGAAGGUCUUCGGAUCGUAAAACGCUGUUAUGAGGGAAGAACAAAUGUGUAAGUAACUAUGCACGUCUUGACGGUACCUAAUCAGAAAGCCACGGCUAACUACGU
This 496-nucleotide ribosomal RNA is filed under the name uncultured bacterium. Its description in RNAcentral is "partial 16S ribosomal RNA". It matches the Rfam family "Bacterial small subunit ribosomal RNA", at positions 28 to 506 of the family's 1533-position model. The record is from RNAcentral.